AUGGACAGACGGACACAGCACGGACACGGGGAUGGACAUGGGAUGGACAUGGGACAGAGAUGGGCUGCAGACACCUGGACCCACAUGAGGGACAUCUGGGGUGGACACGGGGUGGACUCAGGACAUGGGAUAAGGGACACCGGACAGGGGACACCGGACAGGGGACACCGGACAGGGGACACUGGACAGGGGACACCGGACAGGGGACGGUCCCUGGCUGUGCCCUGGGAAGGCCCCAUGGAGGCCCCGCCAUGUCCUGGAGCUCCAGGACAGGCAGUGGCCAGACAGAGCCACGGCCUCAGGGGUCAGUUCAGCCCUGGAGGUCAUUUUGUCCCAACGGGUCACUUUUUGUCCCCAAUAAAAUGCGCUGACCCCACACUGCCCCCGAGUGAUCCUUCAGUGUCCAGGGUCUGCCGCCAUGAUGAGUGUGGGGGCCGCCAUGAUGGUUGUGGCAGGCUCCAUGAUGGGACUGGCCGCUUCACCGUCAGGCCCGACCGUAUCUCCGGACAAACCGGACACGCCCUGACCCCAUGGGUCCGUCCCGGCCGCUCCGGACCCGCCAUCACCCCGUUAACGGCGCCUGAAGCGCCCCCAGCGCGGCCCUGCCCACACUCAAGAUGGCGCCGCACUCUGAGGCCUCACCGGAACCUCCAACAUGGCGGCGCCCGUGACGUAAUUCUGCUUCCGGCGCGGGCCGGAAGUGGCGCCGCCAUGGCGGCCGGGAGCUCCCGGGGCUGGUGAGGCCUCGGGGACACCGGGAGGGCCUUGGGGACACCGGGAGGGCUUUGGGGACACCGGGAGGGCCUUGGGGACAGCGGUGGUGGCGGUCGGGGCGGGGAGGUCGGGAUCGCGCCCGCGUCAGGCCCGGGGUUGGAGCUGGGGGCGCCGUGAGGGCCCCGCGCCCUCUUCGUGUCACCUCAGUGUCCCCAGACCCCCUAUGUCACCCCUAUGUCCCCUCAGUGUCCCCUCAGUGUCCCCAGACCGCCCGUGUCCCCUCUCUGUCCCCAUCUUGUCCCCAGUCCCUCCUCGUGUCACCUCUGCUGUCCCCCAGUGUCCCCAAGCGCCCCUCAGUGUCCCCCAGGCUGUGGUGGCACCCAGGAGGUGACACUGAGGGUCCUUUGUCCCCUCCCUGUCCCCUCCCCUGUGUCCCCAUUGUCCCCAACCCCCUCCCCAAGUGUGGUGUGACCCCUGAGGUGACACUGGGGUGACACUGCUGUGUCCCCAGAUGCCACCAUGGCCACCAGUGUCCCCCUCCCCUGUGUCCCCAUUGUCCCUCAGCUGUCCCCAGGCUGUGUCAUGGUUCUGGGGUGACCCUGGGGUGACCCUGGGGUGACCCUGGGGUGACACUGAGGUGACAUUGCUGUGUCCCCAGAUGCCACCAUGGCCACCAGCCGCUCCGAGGACGAGGAGUCCCUGGCGGGGCCCAAGCGGGGCCCGGCCACCCCCGUGGGGACUGUCCCCAAACGGCGCA
This 1471-nucleotide long non-coding RNA is filed under the name Junco hyemalis (dark-eyed junco). RNAcentral describes it as "lncRNA (ENSJHYG00000015278.1)". The record is from RNAcentral. Lineage: Eukaryota; Metazoa; Chordata; Aves; Passeriformes; Passerellidae.